Molecule: non-coding RNA, 472 nt
Filed under: Pan troglodytes (chimpanzee)
Lineage: Eukaryota; Metazoa; Chordata; Mammalia; Primates; Hominidae
Source: RNAcentral
AGGGUAGAAUCCAGCCCCACAAGCGGCGGCGAUGCUAAUCAGGCCACUAAGUUGGAAAAGCAUCCCCGAAGACCGGGAGGAACGCCGCGGGGACCUGUGGCUUAGCGCGCUCCGCCCGGGCUUGUCUGCCCGCGGGGGCGCAGCGGCUGAGGCGGCUCCGGGCCGGAGUUCCAGUCAAGCGCCACCCAACUCCCAGUCGGGGGCCGAGGCCAGCGCCGGGAUUCCAGCUUCUCCCAAAAAGAUCCUGCCUCAGGGAAAUGCAGGGAGCCGGCGGAAAAGCCCGCGGCGCCCCCGGCGGAUCGCAGACCCUAAGGGGGCGGGAGGUGGCGCCCCAGUCCCAACCUCUUGAGCCAACCCAGUGGGUGGGAAGUGCCCGUACCCUAGGCCUUCCGGAAAGUGUUCUCUCCUUGUAUUAUUCUAAUUACGGUAUUUUUAAUUUCCUUAAAAAAAUAAGAAACAGAAAAGCACAGAA